AAACAAACAAAAAACUCAAACGGGUAUUGGUGAUCUUUAAACAAACAAAUAAACAAACAAACAAAAACUCAAACGGGUACUGGUGAUCUUUAAACAAACAAACAAACAAACAAACAAACAAACAAACAAACAAAAAACUCAAACAGGUACAAGUGAUCUUUAAACAAACAAACAAACAAACAAACAAAAAAACAAACAAACACUCAAACAGGUACAGGUGAUCUUUAAACAAACAAACAAACAACAAAAACUCAAACAGGUACAGGUGAUCUUUAAACAAACAAACAAUCAAACAAACAAAAAACUCAAACAGGUACUGGUGAUCUUUAAACAAACAAACAAACAAACAAACAAACAAACAAACAAAAAACUCAAACAAGUACAAGUGAUCUUUAAACAAACAAACAAACAAACAAACAAACAAACAAACAAACACUCAAACAGGUACAGGUGAUCUUUAAACAAACAAACAAACAACAAAAACUCAAACAGGUACAGGUGAUCUUUAAACAAACAAACAAUCAAACAAACAAAAAACUCAAACAGGUACUGGUGAUCUUUAAACAAGCAAACAAACAAACAAACAAACAAACAAAAAAACAAACAAACACUCAAACAGGUACAGGUGAUCUUUAAACAAACAAACAAACAAACAAACAAACAAACAAACAAACAAAAAACUCAAACAG
Molecule: long non-coding RNA, 689 nt
Organism: Ictalurus punctatus (channel catfish)
Lineage: Eukaryota; Metazoa; Chordata; Actinopteri; Siluriformes; Ictaluridae
Source: Ensembl